CUCCCUUCACGUCUUGGCUCCGGGGGCGUCAAGAGGGAACGAGACUGGAACGUUCCCAAACCCUGGGGGAGGCUCCGGGAGGCCGGGCUUGGGUGGGCCUCCAAGAUUGUUUUUCCCCCACCCCGCUGCAAACCCAAUGCCUGGAGGAGGAGACUGAGGUGCAAGCUAGGAGCCUGAGACUUGCUUAGAUCUAGCUCCUCGUGGUUGACUCCCGAGCCAGAGCGCUUUUGCCCUAGGCCUUCCUGGAGGUGCGACGAGGGCAGGGGGGCGGGCAACCAAGCCUGCUCCGGGUUCUUUGGGGAUUGCUCCCACUCUCUUGGAACCCUCUGGGCAGCCGCUGCCAAUUGCACACACUUUAGGGUGUGUGAAAACAUCUGCUUGCUGACUUCUACCUGAAUUUCCAGGGCCAACGACACAAGUCAGGGAGUGCCGUUUCCGGGGUGCCCAGUAAACCUGACCGCCUUGGAGGGGUGGCACCGGUUCCAUAAGCAAGCUCGGUCAUGGCUCUGAAUCUCCACCCUGCACUGCCUCCAUCCAGCAAAUGCCACACUUACAUCCUUUACCUUUUGCCACCGGUCUUUCCAGGCCCUUAACACGACCGAGUCUUCCCCAUCCUCCCCCCAGAGAUCUAUGUGUUCUUUGAAACUAUUCAGUUUUCAUUUUAAAAUCUCAGUCACGGUUUGUGCUGGGUGCCUGGUUUCUUAACAAGUUCCCCAGCUUCCUUGAAGGAAUACUUAAGGAAGAUUUGGCAGUGGUGGUUUUCUAAAAGACUUCUUAAUUCUUCCUCGGAAUCGCAGAUUUUGUUUUGAUGUUUGGAGACCUCCCCCAACCCCUCCCAGGAGCAUGUAGAAAUAUUUUUCUUAGUUAUACUAGCACCUAAUGUGGAUGAAGACCUCCCCACAAGCCAGGCACGGCGCUAAGGGCUGUGCAUCACUGCCUUUAGUUUCCCCCAUAACCCUGUGACAUGGGUGUUAUUAUGAUCUCUUUCAUAGAGGUGAAGCAGCUACGGCUGGGCGCGGUGGCUCACACCUGUAAUCCCAGCACUUUGGGAGGCUGAGGCGGGUGGAUCACGAGGUCAGGAGUUCGAGACUAGCCUGGCCAACAUGGUGAAAAUCCAUCUCUACAUAUAUAUACACACACAAAAAAAUUAACUGGGCUUGGUAGCAGAUGCCUGUAAACUCAGCUACUCGGAAGGCUGAGGCAGGAGAAUCAUUUGAACUUGGGAGGUGGUGGUUGCAGUGAGCUAAAAUCGCAGGACUGCACUCCAGUCUGGGUGACAGUGUGAGACUACGUCUCAAAAAAAAAAAAAAA
This 1311-nucleotide long non-coding RNA is filed under the name Macaca fascicularis (crab-eating macaque). Its description in RNAcentral is "lncRNA (ENSMFAG00000053491.1)". Lineage: Eukaryota; Metazoa; Chordata; Mammalia; Primates; Cercopithecidae. The record is from RNAcentral.